CUGAAUAACUAUGCUGAUCGCACAGUCCUCGUACUGGCGAUGUAUCUUUCAAAUAUCUGCCUUAUCAACUGUCGAUGGUAGCUUACACGACUACCAUGGUUGUAACGGGUAACGGAGAAUUAGGGUUCGACUCCGGAGAGGGAGCCUGAGAAACGGCUACCACAUCCAAGGAAGGCAGCAGGCACGCAAAUUACCCACUCCCGGAAAGGGGAGGUAGUGACGAAAAAUAGCGAGACGGUUCUCUUUGAGGCCCGUCAUCGAAAUGGGUACAAUUUAAAUCCUUUAACGAGGAUCUAUUGGAGGGCAAGUCUGGUGCCAGCAGCCGCGGUAAUUCCAGCUCCAAAAGCGUAUAUUAAAGUUGUUGCGGUUAAAAAG
Molecule: ribosomal RNA, 375 nt
Filed under: Nematoda sp.
Lineage: Eukaryota; Metazoa; Nematoda
Description: SSU rRNA
Rfam family: Eukaryotic small subunit ribosomal RNA
Source: RNAcentral